GAUGAAGAACGCAGUGAAAUGCGAUACGUAAUGUGAAUUGCAGAAUUCAGUGAAUCAUCGAGUCUUUGAACGCACAUUGCGCCCCCUGGUAUUCCGGGGGGCAUGCCUGUCCGAGCGUCAUUGCUGCCCUCAAGCACGGCUUGUGUGUUGGGCCUCCGUCCUCCUCCCGGGGGACGGGCCCGAAAGGCAGCGGCGGCACCGCGUCCGGUCCUUGAGCGUAUGGGGCUUCGUCACCCGCUCUUGUAGGCCCGGCCGGCGCUUGCCGACACAUCAAUCUUUUUUCCAGGUUGACCUCGGAUCAGGUAGGGAUACCCGCUGAACUUAAGCAUAUCAAUAAGCGGAGGA
Molecule: unclassified non-coding RNA, 345 nt
Filed under: soil metagenome
Description: partial contains 5.8S ribosomal RNA, internal transcribed spacer 2, and large subunit ribosomal RNA
Rfam family: 5.8S ribosomal RNA (bases 1-120)
Source: RNAcentral